This 10320-nucleotide long non-coding RNA is filed under the name Arabidopsis thaliana (thale cress). RNAcentral describes it as "long non-coding RNA (ATHA_LNC000098)". Lineage: Eukaryota; Viridiplantae; Streptophyta; Magnoliopsida; Brassicales; Brassicaceae. The record is from RNAcentral.
CUCACAUGGCAUAGCUCAAGUAGGCAACAAGAUUUACUCUUUUGGUGGUGAGCUCAUACCAAAUCAGCCCAUCGAUAAACACCUUUACGUCUUUGACCUCGAGACCCGGACUUGGUCCAUUGCUCCAGCCACCGGAGACGUUCCACACCUCUCUUGCUUAGGUGUCCGUAUGGUGUCAGUAGGAUCGACCCUCUAUACCUUUGGAGGCCGAGACUUUUCACGCCAAUACAACGGUUUCUACUCGUUUGACACGACAACAAACGAGUGGAAACUGCUAACUCCGGUGGAAGAAGGACCCACUCCUCGUAGUUUCCAUUCGAUGGCAGCGGAUGAGGAAAACGUUUACGUUUUCGGUGGAGUGGGUGCUAUGGAUCGAAUCAAGACACUAGACUCUUACAAUAUCGUUGACAAGACGUGGUUUCAUUGUUCGAAUCCAGGAGAUUCCUUUAGCAUAAGAGGAGGAGCAGGGCUCGAAGUGGUGCAAGGGAAAGUAUGGAUUGUGUAUGGAUUUAACGGAUGUGAAGUAGAUGAUGUUCAUUUCUACGAUCCUGCUGAAGACAAAUGGACACAAGUGGAAACAUUCGGUGUGAAGCCUAACGAAAGGAGUGUUUUCGCUAGUGCGGCUAUUGGGAAACACAUUGUGAUAUUUGGAGGUGAGAUUGCGAUGGAUCCACGAGCUCACGUAGGUCCGGGUCAAUUAAUCGAUGGGACUUUCGCGUUGGAUACAGAGACGUUGCAAUGGGAGAGGUUAGAUAAGUUUGAGGGGACUCCGAGUAGCAGAGGAUGGACCGCGUCCACGACUGGAACCAUUGAUGGUAAGAAAGGACUUGUGAUGCAUGGUGGUAAAGCUCCAACCAAUGACCGGUUUGAUGACCUCUUCUUUUACGGAAUUGACUCUGUCUGAUUAAGCGCGAUUUGAUCAUGACCGUUUGUGUUUUAUUUGUUUGUGUGUCUGUGUGUCUGUGUGAUGCAAUAAGGGAGGGAUCGUGAUACCUCUAUAUGAUCCUUCGUCAGCUUAUCCAUUUUAUUUUUUAUUUUCUAAAUGUAUCUUUUUGUUUUUUGUUUUCUGUUUUGUAUGUUUAAUGUUUCGUGGCUUGUUCAAUAAGAUGUUUAUUUUCCGAAUUUUUUUUGGGUAUGUUACGUUAUACUACAAACAAAAAUAUUAUGAUUUUGAUUUUCUCUAAAGAUGAAAUGAAUAGAACAAGAAGUCAGCAGAUAGGGUGGUUUCAUCUACUUUUGUGGUUGGUAAAUGUGGUUAGAAAAAUUUGCAUUGAAUUGUAAGUUUCUAUCCAUAAAAGAAACAAAAAAUUAAUGUAAUCAAGAGUGGAAAGUUACCAAUGGAUUAUAAAAAUCUUGCAAUUCUAAUAAAUCCUCAUGUCAACGGUACAGAUAAGAUAAGGGUAAGGGGCAAACAAUCUUGUUGGUUCAAAUGGCAAGUAAACAAGGGCAAUUAUAUCCACCUAAUCCAUUGCGUUUUCUUUCUCUAAUCUUAGAAUCUACUUUAAUUGUAUGUUUUUCUCUUUCAUCUACUUUCCAAAACUAUAUAACCUCAUUUCUAUACUUUUUAUGCAUUUAUUUUGAAACCCCUUUAUCAAAAAAAAAAAAGGGGCCAAUUUUUCUUCAAAAAUGGUUACUUUAAGAUUCUCAUAUACAGUGUGCCAAAAAAAAAAAAGGUACCUAAAAUAUUUAUUAUUUCAGAUAUUGGUCAACAUAUUAUCUGUAACAGAAAAAUGUUCACGUGAUAUUUGCGAAUCACAUUUUUCUAGGGGCAAAAGUGAUAUAUGAGAAUCUUAAAGUAACCUUUUCUAGAAUAAUUGCCCUUGUUUACUUGCCACUGUAGUCAUUUAUUUAAUUUAUGUUCAAAAACAGAUUACCUACCUAAUUCACCGAAACGAAAAAUUUUGUUGCCAGUUUUUGUUUUUUUUAAUUUUUUUUUUCCUCUUUUUAGUUUACCUUCUCUUUUUUCUGUUCAACAUUAAACUAGAAGGUAGAGUAAUAAAUAACGAUGGAUGGAUGUGUUGAAAACGCGCUUUAUGCAUGAUUCAUACGAGAGCAGCUGAGGAGGAGACAAAAAACGGGUCUACACUAUAUCAGACUUUUUUUUGUUUUUUUGGUGUAAAACUAUAUCAGAUGGAAAAAUAUCAACCAAAUAAUGUAGAAACUAUAUCAAACUUUUAACAAAACUAUCAACCCAAUAUUUUAUAUUUUAUUAAAAAACAAUACUAAUAAUUUUUCCUUUUCCUCGUUUUUUUUUUUCUGAUCAACCAUUCACACGUUGUUUUUCGUAAUUAUGAUUCUGCAUAAUGCUUUCUCUAAAUCAAAAACUCCACGCCACGGUUCAACUGAUGUAGUGCCUCCACCGUUGUCGUUUGACUCGUUGCAGAGGACACCAUUAUGCACUUCGAUUCAUUUUCAAAAUCGUCUUUCUCUACUGAAUUGUUACUCCAUUUAAUUUUUUGGUCCAUAGAUAACAUAGACCAUUAUACUAGUAUGUUAAAUGUAUACUUAUCAGUUACCGCACAACAUUAAUUCUUAAAGAGGGUUCAUUUUCGAGAAUUGAGUACAACACUACCAUUAGGCCAAAAUGCGAGAGGCAAAAAAAGAUAUAGCAUAUACUUAUCAUGAAUAAUGAAAAUCUUUUCCAUCCAAAUAAAAAUCUUUCUUCUCAUAAAAGAAAGAAGAGAAAAAACAAUGAGUUUGCAUAUCUUUAUCCUGUAGAAUGAUAAUCUUCCCCAUCAACUACUGUAGAUCGUCAACGUGUACUCACUUCCAUUAUCGAUCGAAUCAUCAAUUUAAUGCCUCGUGAAUCACGAGAUCAUAUAAUAUGACAAGAAAUUCGUCCCGUUUAUCUACUGCUGGUCAAUAAAUACUCAUGCAAUUCCCACCAAUAGAUCACUCAACCAAUUUCUUCUCAGGUUCUCUCUUCACACCUCUCCCCUUCUCUAUGAUUAUAGAUAGUAUAUGAUUUGGUUAAAUUAUCUAUAUUUCUUUUUUGAUAAAGGAUUUGGUUAAAUUUUUAAUUGCAGGUAAUACUCGUAAGAUUUAUCAACACAAGCAAAAAAGAUGGCCCAAAAGCUAGAAGCAAAGGGUGGUGAGAUGGGAGAUGUAUGGGAUGAUGGUGUUUACGAAAAUGUUAGAAAGGUAUAUGUAGGGCAAGCACAAUACGGUAUAGCCUUCGUCAAGUUUGAGUAUGUCAAUGGUUCUCAAGUGGUUGUUGGAGAUGAACAUGGAAAGAAGACAGAGCUAGGAGUUGAAGAGGUACUAAAAUAGAUUUUUUUUUUUUUUUUUUUUUUUUUUUUUUUUUAGUCAAAAGGUACUAAAAUAGAUUUAUAUGUUGUGAUUGAUCAAGAGGUAGGGUCUUUUUUUUUUUUGUUGCUUUCCGCAUUGAAAAUUGCUUGGUUUCUUUGCAGUUUGAGAUUGAUGCGGAUGACUACAUCGUAUACGUGGAAGGUUACCGUGAGAAAGUUAACGAUAUGACGUCAGAAAUGAUCACGUUUCUUUCUAUUAAGACUUUUAAAGGCAAAACCUCUCAUCCUAUCGAAAAAAGACCUGGGGUUAAGUUUGUGCUACAUGGUGGAAAAAUCGUUGGGUUUCACGGACGUUCAACAGAUGUUUUACACUCCCUUGGGGCCUAUGUUUCUUUGUCAUCCACUAUCAAAUUGCUUGGGAAGUGGAUUAAGGUAAUAAUCUCUUAGACCAAUCCAAAAACAAAAAUAAAAAAUUAUCUCACAUAAAUAUGUUGUUAUUGUUACCACCGCAAAAUCACUAAAUCACUUACGAGAAAGAAAAAAUGAAGAAGAAAAGAGGGUUGAAUUUGGAAUUCAGAUAAUGACACUUUUAAAAUUUAUAAUUUUAUUAAAUUUAUCUUAUGGGAGUUCAUUAAUCAGAUAAAUAAUUUCUUUAAAAAUAACUAAAAAAUAUUACUCAUAGGUGGAGCAAAAAGGAGAAGGUCCAGGGCUAAGAUGCUCACAUGGCAUAGCACAAGUAGGCAACAAGAUUUACUCCUUUGGUGGCGAGUUCACACCAAAUCAGCCCAUCGACAAACACCUUUACGUCUUUGACCUCGAGACCCGGACUUGGUCCAUUUCUCCAGCCACCGGAGACGUUCCACACCUCUCUUGUUUAGGUGUCCGGAUGGUGUCAGUAGGAUCGACCCUCUAUGUCUUUGGAGGCCGAGACGCUUCACGCCAAUACAACGGUUUCUACUCGUUUGACACGACCACUAACGAGUGGAAACUGCUAACUCCGGUCGAAGAAGGACCCACUCCUCGUAGUUUCCACUCAAUGGCAGCCGAUGAGGAAAACGUUUACGUUUUCGGUGGAGUGAGUGCUACGGCACGACUCAAUACACUAGACUCUUACAACAUCGUUGAUAAGAAGUGGUUUCAUUGUUCGACUCCAGGAGAUUCCCUUACCGCAAGAGGAGGAGCAGGGCUCGAAGUGGUGCAAGGGAAGGUAUGGGUUGUGUAUGGGUUUAACGGAUGUGAAGUAGAUGAUGUUCAUUACUACGAUCCUGUUCAAGACAAGUGGACACAAGUGGAAACAUUCGGUGUGAGGCCUUCCGAAAGAAGUGUAUUCGCUAGUGCGGCUAUUGGGAAACACAUUGUGAUUUUUGGAGGUGAAAUUGCGAUGGACCCGCUAGCUCACGUGGGUCCAGGUCAAUUGACCGAUGGAACUUUUGCAUUGGACACAGAGACGUUGCAAUGGGAGAGGCUGGAUAAGUUUGGUGGAGAGGAAGAGACUCCGAGUAGCAGAGGAUGGACCGCGUCCACGACUGCUACCAUUGAUGGUAAGAAAGGACUUGUGAUGCAUGGUGGUAAAGCUCCAACCAAUGACCGGUUUGAUGAUCUCUUCUUUUACGGGAUUGACUCUGCCUAAUUAAGGCAGAUUUGGUGAUCAUGAACGUUUGUGAAUGUGUGUGUGUGUGUGUGGGUCUGUGUUUGUGUGUGUAAUAAGGGAGGGGUAUACCACCAUAUGAUCCUUCCCCAGCUUGACCAUUGUUUUUUUUUUAAUAUGUUUUUCUUUCUACAUGUUUGUUUCACGUUUCAUGUUGUAUCCAAUAAAUUGUGUACUUUCCUAGUAGUAAUCGCCAGAAAAAAAAAAAAAAAAAAAAAACCUAGUAGGUAGAGUCAUAGCUUACAAUUAAAUAAAUAACGAUGGAUGUGUUGAAAACGCGUUUAUGCAUGAUUCAUGAAUUGUAUAUACGAGAGCAGCCGAGGAGGAGAUAAAGAGAGGGGUCUACAAUGAUCAAUACUAACUUAAUUUUGUAGUGUUGUCAGUCAAUAAUGUAUACCUAUCAAAAUGGGGCCUAUAUUCCAUCACUAGUGAGUUCGUCAGUCAAUAAUGUAUUUUCCGACACUUAAAAAACGUUCCAAAUCAUAAUACUUAUAAUUAUAACCAGAUAAGUUUUACUGAAUCCCAGACUAAUUCUCAAACUUUGCUAUCAUGUUAUUAACAAACAUUACAAUGUAGAGAAAUAUGGAUGCCCUAGUUUCAACUAACACGAUGAAUCAUGUCAAUCACUGUAUAAAUAGUUAAUAAGUUGUGACUUUUUUUUUUGUCGGCUAAUAAGUUGUGACUUUAGGCACCGUCAAUAUUCAACUGUAAUUAUAAUCGUAUAUAAUAAGUGAUUAUAUCUGUCAAAUAUCAUAUAUAACAAAUAAUAUAAUUGUAUGUAUAUAUAUUAUCUCUAUCAACUAUAAUCAUAUACAGAAAGAAAAAAAACAAGUGUUACAUCACGCUUAGCUUAAAAGUUUCGACUUUUUGCACCGUCAUAUUUCACGUGUAAGCAAGAAAUACAAAUGUAAAUAGAUUAUAAUUAAUGAAUUCUCUCGACUCUCUCAACAUAGUAUAUAAAAGGAAAUCUACACAUGAACCGUAUCUUUCUCACUUUUGAAAUAUUUUGAUGUUUUAAAGAAAUUUUUUCAAAAUUUUAUAUAAAUUAUAAAUUAAUUUAAUAUUUUUUGAUUAUUUAUAUUUUUCAUCAGUCUUGUUCAUAAUUGGUUGAAUUGUUUUAAAGUAAAUAUUUCUUUAGCUAAAACAUCUUAUACAAUUAAAAGAAAAAAGUGUAAUCAAAUAACCAAAUAUAAAUUAGUAUUUCAAAUUAUACUUAUUGCAGGGUGAUAAACCUUUUGUCCCAAGUGAAGUUAAACCUAUAAAUAUAUACCCCAUUUAGAGGGUCCUAUAUAACUAAAGUACCACAUAUUUGGUGGUUUAUAUCAUUCAAUUUUUUUGUAACUAACUUAAUAUUUGAUAUGUAAAAUCAUGUUAAAAUAGGAUCAGCAGAUAGAAUAUAUAAAAAAUAAGUCAUGUACAAACGUAACGUUCUUCAUAUCUUAGGUAACGUAUCUAACAAUUUUGUUAAAUAUUAUUAUUUUAAAAAAUUGAACAUAUUAUUUGGAAACUUUUCUUUUGAUAAUUUUGAAAUGGCACUUUGUAAUUAAGAGUUUAAUAAAGAACACGUCACACACAAAAACGAAGAAAGAGAUUAUAGAAAUUAAGUUGUGUUUUCAAUCUUCGUGUAUACAAAACAAAAAUAAAAAUUAGAAAUGAUAUUUCAUACGAUGUUGUUAAAUAAUAUAAUUAUGAAAAUUAGUUGUGCUUUAUAUUAUUAUUUUUGUUGGAAGCUCUAGAAACGAUCGACCUAAUAGUAUAUUUUUGUCACUAAAAAGUGUGAUUAAAAUAUAUAUAUAUAUAUAUAUAUAUAUAUAUAUAUAUAUAAUAUUGUAAUUUUCAACCAAUUCUCGGUUUAGGUGGUUUAUUAUUAUAUUGUUUUUUGAAAAAAUUAAAAAAUAUAUCCUUAUUAGUUCAUUCUUUUCUGGUCAUUCGUUCACACUUUACAACUUGGUUAAUGGCCACUUCUCAAGUUAUCGUUCUUUCAUUUGUUCUACAGUCGCAAGAAAUUAUCGUUCUUUCAUUUGUCAUUAUGCAUAAUGAUUUCUCUUUUCUUUUUAGUGCAUAAUGAUCUCACUACAUAAAAAAAUCUAUCUUACGAUUCAACUAUAUUUAGUCCCAUGCACUCGCUGCAUAACACAUUACUUUCUUCGAUUUAGAGUGAUUUUCACAACCUUGUUUCUGUAUUGUAUAUUUAGUUAGUGUUUGUGAUUACCAAAAAAAAAAAUUGUUUCUUCUUGGCUUAGUCUUUUUAUCUUUUUUUUUUUUUUUGCUUCAUCUAUUUUUCCUCCCAUGACAGAUGAAGACGGCAAGAGAUGCAGCAAAUCUCAUUUAUGAUCUAUCUGAAGAAUCAGCGUCAUCGAUUUGGAGACUCGAACCAUAACAAAAAGAGCAUCACAGUUUCAAUUUAAUUGCUCCUGGCGCUUCCUAUUUCAGCAACAAACAUUAAAUAAUUAAUCCAAUAGAGAUGAUAUAUAUGGAAAUUUCAAAACCAAAAAAAGAAACUUUCAAAACCAAAAUUGCGAAGCCAUAGAAAUCGUGGAUCAUGGAAUUGCGAAGACCAAUGUUGACAUAUGGGAAUUUGGUGUCCCAAUGAGCAGAGAUCACUAAGAUUGGUUUUCGGGAGGAACUUUUUGAGUUCAUGAUUUGAAGAAUUGUCUCGCCUAUAAGCUAUCGUCCAUAGUUUGAGAUUCAUGCGACAAGAAGAAGGUUUGAUUCACUUUCUCCAUUUAAUUGAAUCAUCUUCAUAGAUAUAUUUUCAUACUUAAUCAAUGUUUUUACCAAAAAAAUAAUGUUAUUUUAUUAUUUUGGUUUUAUGUGGUUUGGGAUUGGUGUAGAUUAUAAACCGAUUAAACCAAUGUUUUUGUGUUCUGAGAUUUCAAACUUUUGAACUAAAUAAAUAUACGUUUUGGGGAAUAUCCAAUAUCAAUAUGUAUCAUAGUUUGGACUCUAUCUAUUCCAGUAUGAUAAUUCCCGUGGAAAAAUAUAUCAUCGUCUCUAUUUUAUACAUGCACUUGCAACACAAACCAGCCAUAAAGUGGGUCUAUUCUUAUAAUUUAUGACAACAUGGAACACUAUCAUUGGGCCACGAUGCAAGGAGCGAAGGACGAUGCGAGAAGGUGCUUUACUGAUUUGAUGAACGUGGAGGUGAUUCUGAAUGAUACGAGAUCUCUAAGCUGAAUAUAUAAUAGUAUAGUUUUUCGUAAUUUUUUUUUGUUAAAUUUUUUAUCGCUGCUAAAGAUUAAAUGGCGAGUAAAACUAUACUAUUAUACUUUCAAAGAUCACCCGAGAAAAUGAUGACUGCACAUACUUUCAAUAUCCCAUAGAUGACAUAUCUGUUUUAUUUCCAUCAAGCUAUUCAUCGAAACAAAAGCACAUGACGAUUAUGGGAGAGAAACACUACUCUAAAAUCCCGUAAUAAGCUGCACCACCUAAUUUUUUGUGCCUUGACCAAAAAAAAUUCAAUGUUGCAGUUCAACGAACCUUCUUACGGAGGAUCUUUAAACAAAAUUUAUUUGGUACAUAGAGAAAAAUAUUUUAAUAUAUACUAAUUUAAUGCCUCGCGAUCAACGAGUAGAGAAAAAAUAUGUCGCGUGUAUCUUCUUCCAUUGGUCAAUAAAUACCAAUGCAAUGUUUACUACACAAAUCAUUACUUCAGUCUCACUCUCAGGUCAGCUCUCUCCACAUCUCUCUCAUAUGAUUGUACUAUGUAUAAGAUUUGGUAAUAUUUGUAAUUACAAGUAAAAUUCGUAAAUACAGAUAAUAUUCGUAAGAGGUUGAUCAAACGAAAGCAAAAGAGAUGGCCCAAAAGGUUGAAGCACAAGGAGGAAAUGGCGGUAACCAAUGGGAUGAUGGAUCCGAAUACGACGCUGUGACCAAGAUUCAAGUCGCAGCAGGCGGGAACGGAAUUGAAUAUGUUAAGUUCACAUACGUCAAGAACGGACAAACCGAAGAAGCCCCUCUACGCGGUGUCAAGGGCCGUAGUUUCGAAGCAGAUCCGGUUCCUAUACACUAUCCUUGCCUAUCUCUUCAUUUUUAUCUAUAAGGACAUUGACGUGAAUUAAUAUAUAUAUAUAUAUAGGUUAUAUAUUGUCAAGGGUUUGUUUUGAUAAUGUUCUUUUUAAGAAAUUGACAUUUUGAUCUUGAUCUCUACAGUUUGUGAUAAACCAUCCGGAGGAGCACUUAGUUUCUGUAGAAGGUCGGUAUAACCCUGAAGGACUUAUUCUAGGGCUAACGUUCAAAUCCAACAAGAAGACUUCUGAUCUCAUUGGAUAUGAAGAUGGUACACCGUUCACUCUCCAAGUUCAAGACAAGAAGAUCGUUGGAUUUUAUGGCUUCGCUGGAAACAAUCUCCAUUCUCUUGGAGCGUACUUUGCUCCGUUGACUAAUGUAACCCCCUUGAAUGCCAAAAAGCUAGAAGCAAAGGGUGGUGACACGGGAGAUAUAUGGGAUGAUGGUGUUUACGAUAAUGUUAGAAAGGUAUAUGUAGGGCAAGCCCAAUAUGGUAUAGCCUUCGUCAAGUUUGAGUAUGUCAAUGGUUCUCAAGUGGUUGUUGGAGAUGAACAUGGAAAGAAGACAGAGCUAGGAGUUGAAGAGGUACAAAAAUAGAUAAUUCUAUGUUGUGAUUCGUCAAAAGGAUAUAUAUAUAUAUAUAUUUAUAUGGGUAACCUCACUCAAAAUUAUUUGGUUUCUUUGCAGUUUGAGAUUGAUGCGGAUGACUACAUCGUAUACGUGGAAGGAUACCGUGAGAAAGUUAAUGGUAUGACCUCAGAGAUGAUCACUUUUCUUUCAUUCAAGACUUAUAAAGGCAAAACCUCUCAGCCUAUCGAACAAAGACCUGGUAUUAAGUUUGUGCUACAAGGUGGAAAAAUUGUUGGGUUUCACGGACGUUCGACCGACGUUCUAGACUCCCUCGGGGCUUAUAUUUCAUUGUCGCCCACUCCAAACUUGCAUGGAAAGUGGACAAAGGUAGUAAUCUUUUAUAUAUCACCAUGGGAGCUAGUUCACUAAGCAGACUCUAUAUUAUAAAAAAUCCUAACUAACAAGUAUUAUUAAUUAAUUAUAAGGUGGAUGAAAAUGGAGAUGGUCCAGGGCUAAGAUGCUCGCAUGACAUAGCACAGGUAGGAAACAAGAUUUACUCUUUUGGUGGUGAGUUCACACCAAAUCAGCCCAUCGACAAACACCUUUACGUCUUUGACAUCGAGAGCCGGACUUGGUCCAUUUCUCCAGCCACGGGAGACAUUCCAACCCUCUCUUGCCUAGGUGUCUGUAUGGUGUCAAUAGGAUCGACCCUCUAUGUCUUUGGAGGCCGAGACGCUUCACGUCAAUACAACGGUUUCUACUCGUUUGACACGACCACAAACGAGUGGAAACUGCUAACUCCGGUCGAAGAAGGACCCACUCCUCGUAGUUUCCACUCAAUGGCAG